GAAUAUGGGGGGACCAUCCUCCAAGGCUAAAUACUCCUGACUGACCGAUAGUGAACCAGUACCGUGAGGGAAAGGCGAAAAGAACCCCGGCGAGGGGAGUGAAAAAGAACCUGAAACCGUGUACGUACAAGCAGUGGGAGCACGCUUAGGCGUGUGACUGCGUACCUUUUGUAUAAUGGGUCAGCGACUUAUAUUCUGUAGCAAGGUUAACCGAAUAGGGGAGCCGAAGGGAAACCGAGUCUUAACUGGGCGUUAAGUUGCAGGGUAUAGACCCGAAACCCGGUGAUCUAGCCAUGGGCAGGUUGAAGGUUGGGUAACACUAACUGGAGGACCGAACCGACUAAUGUUGAAAAAUUAGCGGAUGACUUGUGGCUGGGGGUGAAAGGCCAAUCAAACCGGGAGAUAGCUGGUUCUCCCCGAAAGCUAUUUAGGUAGCGCCUCGUGAAUUCAUCUCCGGGGGUAGAGCACUGUUUCGGCAAGGGGGUCAUCCCGACUUACCAACCCGAUGCAAACUGCGAAUACCGGAGAAUGUUAUCACGGGAGACACACGGCGGGUGCUAACGUCCGUCGUGAAGAGGGAAACAACCCAGACCGCCAGCUAAGGUCCCAAAGUCAUGGUUAAGUGGGAAACGAUGUGGGAAGGCCCAGACAGCCAGGAUGUUGGCUUAGAAGCAGCCAUCAUUUAAAGAAAGCGUAAUAGCUCACUGGUCGAGUCGGCCUGCGCGGAAGAUGUAACGGGGCUAAACCAUGCAC
RNAcentral lists this ribosomal RNA (753 nucleotides) under Escherichia coli. RNAcentral's name for it is "partial 23S ribosomal RNA". It matches the Rfam family "Bacterial large subunit ribosomal RNA", at positions 440 to 1194 of the family's 2925-position model. The record is from RNAcentral. Lineage: Bacteria; Pseudomonadati; Pseudomonadota; Gammaproteobacteria; Enterobacterales; Enterobacteriaceae.